This is a long non-coding RNA of Apis florea (little honeybee), 285 nucleotides long. NCBI's taxonomy places the organism in Eukaryota, Metazoa, Arthropoda, Insecta, Hymenoptera, Apidae. The record is from RefSeq and is a predicted model, not a curated record.
UUGUUUUGAAAAUCACUUGAAGAUUAAAAAUGGAGGAUCAAGGUCAUCUCAAGAUCAAGGUCCAUUUAAAGGUGGGAGUGAAAGUGACAACGAGGAGAAUAACUCGACGUAUAAUCAGCCGUGUACGAAUACGAGCGGUGGUAUAAGUAAUCCAAUAAUCAUGGAACGAAGCCGGCCAGCCAUCUAAGAAGCUUAGUUUUUACACGAGGGUGCUUCCAUCGUGAUAAUAAAUAUCUAUUAUCACACGUGAUUAGUUUUACGAUACGAUUGAGGAUAGUGCUAUUU